ACAAAACCCAGGCAAUCAGGAGUAAAAAACCCAAAAUUUGGAAUAUUCUGCCAUCAAAGCGUUCAUAUUUUAUCUUGCCAAUGAGAAGAAAUUUGUAUGUGCAUAUGUUAUUUCCUCCAAUAGAACAUAAACUCCUUCUUGUGAUGGAGAGAACCAUCUGCACCAGAGAGAAGACUGUGGGGACUGAGUGUGGAUCACACAUAGUAUUUCCACCUUUUUUUUGUUGUUGUUUGCUAGCUUUUUGUUUUAUUUCUCAUUUUUUUUUCUUCUUUGAUCUGAUUUUUGUGACAUGAUAAUUGUGGAAAC
RNAcentral lists this long non-coding RNA (306 nucleotides) under Sarcophilus harrisii (Tasmanian devil). RNAcentral describes it as "lncRNA (ENSSHAG00000028632.1)". The record is from RNAcentral. Lineage: Eukaryota; Metazoa; Chordata; Mammalia; Dasyuromorphia; Dasyuridae.